UAUUCAUUCUUCUGUGUAUGCAGGUAGAAUGGAGGGGAUACUUAACAGGCCUGGAUUUACUGGGAAGGCUGAAACGCCUGUGUGUAUUUCCUGCCUUUCCCUGGGUGGUAUUUACAAAUCAUGGUUCUCCAGCAGAGUGCCAUGGUCUCUCUCCAGCUGCUCAAAUCCGCAUACUCGGUUUGGGCAGCAGAGAGAAAACAAUGUACAAUGCGUUACAGCAAAUGGAAGAGUGAGAGAAUCUCUGCUGUGAUUGACAUCGGGGAGGGAUCAUCUCCCUCCACAGAGACUGUGGGUGACUCACUAUUAUCCUUCCCUGCGGGACAGCAAACACGUACAAUAAUAGAGCUCUGUGAGAGAAGAGACUUUCUGGCAAUGUGUUGCUUCUGUCAAGCCGCAGGAGUUUCAAAUUAUUGUAUGUAACAUUAUAGUAAGAUCUCUGAACUAGCAAAACCUACUGGAAACAGAACUAUUCCAGUGAAAUAAUUCCCUGGACUGUAAGAAAAUUUUGUAGGGAUACAAUGUGACCAGAGAGAUUCAAUAUUUUAUGUAUUGAUUUUCUUUAAUAACAAUGGUAAUGUAAAGCAUGUAACUAUUUUUAUAAAGCUGUAUUAGAGCUGUAUUGAUUUCUUGUGAAGUCAUGCAUAAGAGCAGCAGUGUAUGACGCAUCACAGAGAAGGGAAGUUCAUUACACAGAACUUAGUUCUUGGUAAUCAUCUCAAUUAAGGGAGUGUGUUGUUUCUGAAGAUGCCAUUUUAGAGCUGUUUAUUGCAAUACGGCAGCCUACGCAAUAUAUGAAAACUUUCUGUGGUUUGUCUAUUUUAGAUACUGUUAGACUGCUGGUGGCAGAAAAAAGAUGAAGGAUUUUUCCUGAAAUCAUUUUGAUUUUAUACUAAUACAAAAUACCAGCGAUUUCAUAGUCUUGCUUUAGGAACAAAUAUUAAUUGUUUUCUUUUUAUUAGGAUAUAUCCUAAAGCAUAUUCUAUAUAAGUUGUGCAUUGUAAUGGAACUAAAAAGGUCCUUUAAAUUUCAACUCUUUCUGAACAGAUUUUCUUUUUCUUUUUCUUUUUUUUUUUUAAUAUUAGUUUACUUGAUGUGUGGCUUAGGAGAUUUAAUUACUUUAUUUUCAGUUUAAACAUUGCAGUAGGGAACAUUUCAUCCAACUUUAGCUAUCUAUAGUUAAGUAUUUAGUUUUUAGGUCAGUUAAGCCCCCUAAAUAAUCAAAAAUAAGAGAUAGGGACCUGCAGAGAACCUAUGUGUUGUAGGGUAAGUGGGAAGAAUUGCCCCUUGCAGCUCCCUGUCUUUUUAUUGACUGUAGGAGAGUCCAGAAAACUGCCUUAGGCAAGAUCCUAAGUUAAGGAAUGAAACCCUUCUCAGAUGUACAGAAAUCAUGGGAUUGGCUUAAAAAAUGCAGAUUUUUAAAAUAGUAAAUAUUUGGCUCUCUUUUUUUUGAGUGCAUAGGGUUCCUGUUUCAAAUGUUUCUCAGGAGUUUCAUGGGAUAGAAAAUUUUAAAAUGAAAACUGAGGUUUUUAAUAUCAUUGCCAAUGCUGGGGGCUAAUUUUUUUAGAAAGCUAUUAAAUAUCCUCUGAAUCAUGAUGAAAUUGUGAAGAUUGUCAGAACUGAUAACUAAAGACAGCUUUUUGUUUGACCACAUAAAUAUGAUACAUUAUUUUUGUCCAUGUUGCUACCAUUCUUUCUGAUACGAAUAUUGUUCUUAUUGCUGAUAGUAACCCAUUACUGGAGACCUUAUUAAGUUUAAAGGCACUUGGACUUGUCGUUUUUGUGACUGAUCCUGCAGGAAAAGAUCUCCUGUCAUGAAAAACUGCAGACUGCCUCUUCUGUAAUUCGAUUUUCGUUUGCUAGUUGGUUUUGGAUAUGUUUUUUUUUCGGUCGAGCCUUCUGUCAACCCCAGAAAGGGUCAGUUUUGCAACCUUUAAAAACUCAGCAGAACUGUUAUGGUACAAAUUGAGUGAACUUUUUUGUCAGGCUUGCUGUGUAAGAAUGUUGCUUGUUGUGAACUCGUGUCCAUUCAUAACAGAAUCUAAAGAGGAUUAGAUAAUAAAUAAGUACACUAAGCACA
Molecule: long non-coding RNA, 2077 nt
Filed under: Struthio camelus australis
Lineage: Eukaryota; Metazoa; Chordata; Aves; Struthioniformes; Struthionidae
Description: lncRNA (ENSSCUG00000002234.1)
Source: RNAcentral